Molecule: long non-coding RNA, 699 nt
Organism: Lutzomyia longipalpis
Lineage: Eukaryota; Metazoa; Arthropoda; Insecta; Diptera; Psychodidae
Exons: 3
Source: RefSeq, a predicted model, not a curated record
GCCUGAUUUUGUCUCUGUAUUCCGCGCUUGCGUCUCGUCACCACACCGACGACGACCUGCUGCUGCCACUCCACCGUUGCGAUAGACACUGCAAAGAGAGAUGACGUAGCAAUGAUAGAUUCCAAAAUUUUUAUUUGUACCCAAAAUCCCAAAAAUUCUUCCCAGCUGUCUUCCUGAUCAAAAAUCCUCCUGAAUAAAUCACACUUUGACUCCUCAAACCCAAAAGCACUAAAUGAAGAAGAGAAAAAGGAGGAAGGAAGGUUAAAUUCAAGGUCAGAAGAACGGGCAGAAAACUUUAGCAAAAAUUCUAAGCUCCACGAAGGAAAUAUGAAAAUUUAAUCAUUAACUCAUCCAAUUAAUAGUUGGAAAUGUACUGCCCAAAACAAGCUCGUUUAAACACUCAUGAGCAACUAAAAAAGUUCCACAAUCAAAACAACAAGCACAACCGAGCGAUUUUAUGUUACACGACGAAGAUUUUAUGUUGUCCAUGAGACGACACUCAUCAACAAUUGCGUUGUCUUCUUUUGCCACUCUUAUCACGCAACAUUCACCUGAUAUUGAACACCUCUUUGGAAUCCAAUAAAUUAAUUCAUUUUUUCCUCAAAAUUCUUGUCUUUUCUGCUUGAUAUCUUGAGCAACAAAUUGGCAAUUUUUAUGUUUGUGUUUUCAAAAUAAAUCCAUUAAAAAAUCAUAAGGAAA